UACGAAGGGGGCUAGCGUUACUCGGAUUGACUGGGCGUAAAGGGCGCGUAGGCGGCUUGUACAGUCAGACGUGAAAUUCCUGGGCUCAACCUGGGGGCUGCGUUUGAUACGUAUGGGCUUGAGUUCGGAAGAGGGUCGUGGAAUUCAUGGUGUAGCAGUGAAAUGCGUAGAGAUCAUGAGGAAGACCAGUGGCGAAGGCGGGUCUCUGGCCCGGUACUGACGCUGAGGUGCGAAAGCGUGGGGAGCAAACAGG
Molecule: ribosomal RNA, 253 nt
Filed under: uncultured bacterium
Lineage: Bacteria
Description: partial 16S ribosomal RNA
Rfam family: Bacterial small subunit ribosomal RNA
Source: RNAcentral